CAGGUCCUAUCAGUGAAUCAGACUGUGCCUACAGACAGUGUAUCUCGGCUGUGUGACGAAUUUGCAGACAUUUUUGCACCGGGCUUAGGUUGCGCUAAAAACUAUGAAGCACAUUUGGAACUGAAGGUAAACGCGCAACCGAAAUUUUUCAGAGCGCGCAAUGUUCCCCACGCAUUGCGUCAGGAGGUCGCAAGAACAUUGAACAAUGUAGAAUCACAAGGUGUGAGUGAAUGUGCGCAAUGCCUCUUCCAUUUCAGCUCCGCUUCAUCGCUUACGCCGUGCAGGUGUUCCGUUUCUCUGGACGACGGAAUGCGAACGCGCCUUUCGCCAGUUGAAAACGGCGUUGCUUUCUAAUACUUGCCUUACGCCAUUCGAUCCCCAGAAACCCCUUUUGUUGAUGGUAGAUGCAUCGGAUUUCGGGAUCGGUGCUGUGCUUGCGCACAAAGUUGGCUCCCAUGAUCGCCCUAUUGCCUUUGCGUCCAAAUUGCUCUCGUCUGCGCAAAGAAGUUAUUCACAGAUAGAGAAAGAAGCUUUGGCUCUCGUGUUUGGUGUUACUAAGUUCCAUGAUUUCUUGUAUGGUCGUCACUUUACCAUCAUCACAGACCACAAACCUUUGACAUCGCUUUUUCAUCCGACCAAGCCUGUACCUCCACGUACAGCGCAGAAAUUCAUUCGCUGGUCUAUUUUCCUCUCGCAGUACCGCUACGAUAUCUUGUAUCGGUCCACUGCUAAGCACGGAAACGCCGAUGCGUUGUCCCGUUUGCCUGUUGCUGAGGAUAAAGCAUUCGAUUCUUCCGAACUUGCUUGCAUGUUCAUUGAUUCGGAAACCGAUGAAGUGGUCGAAUCGUUUCCGAUUGAUUUUCGUCGUGUCGCUACAGCCACAGCUGCUGACCCUUCCUUGCUACUGUUUUACGUUUUGUUGCUACGCAAUGGCCUUUGUCAAAGUCUCGGAUCGAGGAUCCGUUGGUUCGCCGAUUUUUUGCUCACAAGGAGAGACUUUUUGUUCGACGUGGUGUUUUGUUGUUGCGUUCUGAUAAUGAUCAGUCCAGAGUCGUGGUCCCACGUUCGUUACAGUCCUCUGUUUUACGGCUUCUUCACCAAGGACAUUGGGGUAUAGUGCGAACGAAACAACUUGCUCGUCAGCACUGUACUUGGUUCGGAAUCGAUGCUGCGAUUACGAAUAUGUGUUCUUCGUGCCCGGCAUGUGCCGAACAACAGUCCGCACCGCCGCGGAAAGUCUUUGCGUGGCCAAAAGCCACUUCCCCUUGGCAACGCUUGCACAUUGAUUUUGCUGGUCCAUUCUGGAAUGCUCGAUGGUUGGUUCUGGUCGACGCCUUCAGUAAUUUUCCUUUUGUUGUCCGGAUGUCUUCCACGACGUCCUCUGCCACCAUCCAAGCGUUGUCUGCUAUCUUUUGCAUUGAAGGUCUUCCGCAGACUAUUGUUUCCGACAAUGGCCCACAAUUCAUGUCCGCGGAAUUUCAGUCAUUCUGCCAGGCCAAUGGUAUUCAACA
This is a long non-coding RNA of Schistocerca serialis cubense, 1511 nucleotides long. RefSeq lists it as uncharacterized. The transcript is spliced from 3 exons. NCBI's taxonomy places the organism in Eukaryota, Metazoa, Arthropoda, Insecta, Orthoptera, Acrididae. The record is from RefSeq and is a predicted model, not a curated record.